Molecule: long non-coding RNA, 296 nt
Organism: Helianthus annuus (common sunflower)
Lineage: Eukaryota; Viridiplantae; Streptophyta; Magnoliopsida; Asterales; Asteraceae
Exons: 2
Source: RefSeq, a predicted model, not a curated record
AGGUUGUUGAGAGGAUCAACUUUAGAUCAUAAAAUGAUGCACGCAUAGCUGCGACUUCAAGAUGGAAAGGUUGAACAUGAUCAUACAAGAGAUGGUGAAAGAAAAAGAAGAGAAAGAAAGGUUGAACGGAAGGAUGACAAAUGUUGAAGCGAUGCUAAAAAUUAGGUAUCAAAACGUCUAAUCAUCGAGUUGGUUAUAAGCACUUUAUUUUGGAUAUGUAUUUUGUUCGGAGAACUCAUGUAUUUAAUUUGAUGUUUUAAGUGGAAUGCUUUAUAUAAUUUUGAAAAUUCUAGAAA